This is a long non-coding RNA of Musa acuminata AAA Group (dessert banana), 493 nucleotides long. RefSeq lists it as uncharacterized. The record is from RefSeq and is a predicted model, not a curated record. NCBI's taxonomy places the organism in Eukaryota, Viridiplantae, Streptophyta, Magnoliopsida, Zingiberales, Musaceae. The transcript is spliced from 2 exons.
UGAUAAGCUUUGCAUGGUUUAGAAGGCUAACAGUUGUUCCCAAAUGCCACAGUGAAAUCACCUUUUCAUGUCUAUUUAUACUCGAUCCAACUUCCCUAAAUCUCAUCAACUUUCUCUUGCAUGGCUAGGUCAUCAACAAUAGGAGUUCCCUCAACUUCCCUCAGAAGGAGAACCAGAGGCACAACUCACCAUGUUCAACCUUUGGUGACAUGGAAACUUAGGAAGCUCAAGAAGAUCAUCCCAGGAUGCGAAGAAGCUGGGUUAGAAGAACUGCUUCAGAGAACUGCUGAGUAUAUUUCUUUCCUAGAGCUGCAUGUAAUUAUUCUGGAGAGAAUAUCAAACCUUCAUGGUGCUUCAGGCUAUGGCUUGUCUUAAGCCAUAUCCUGAUCCAGGCUUUGAUGGUCAAAAAUAGAAAGAUCACUUGCAAUGAUUAAACUCAAUCAUGCAGCUAAGGAGAAACAUUUCAAUGGAAGAAAGUUCAUUUCCUUUUUUU